Non-coding RNA from Paramuricea clavata, 705 nucleotides. The record is from the annotation of a GenBank genome assembly. NCBI's taxonomy places the organism in Eukaryota, Metazoa, Cnidaria, Anthozoa, Malacalcyonacea, Plexauridae.
UAUAGCCUUACUUUUUUGCUGUUUUUUGCCCACUUAUGAAAAAUGGAAAAAGUCGCUAAAAAUGGAUGAAAAGUUAAUGCUAUAGCCUUACUUUUUUGCUGUUUUUUGCCCACUUAUGAAAAAUGGAAAAAGUUGCUAAAAAUGGACGAAAAGUUAAGGUUAUAGCCUUACUUUUUUGCCCACUUAUGAAAAAUGGAAAAAGUUGCUAAAAAUGGAUGAAAAGUUAAUGCUAUAGCCUUACUUUUUUGCUGUUUUUUGCCCACUUAUGAAAAAUGGAAAAAGUCGCUAAAAAUGGACGAAAAGUUAAUGCUAUAGCCUUACUUUUUUGCCCACUUAUGAAAAAUGGAAAAAGUUGCUAAAAAUGGAUGAAAAGUUAAUGCUAUAGCCUUACUUUUUUGCUGUUUUUUGCCCACUUAUGAAAAAUGGAAAAAGUCACUAAAAAUGGACGAAAAGUUAAUGCUAUAGCCUUACUUUUUUGCUGUUUUUUGCCCACUUAUGAAAAAUGGAAAAAGUUGCUAAAAAUGGAUGAAAAGUUAAUGCUAUAGCGUUACUUUUUUGCUGUUUUUUGCCCACUUAUGAAAAAUGGAAAGUUGCUAAAAAUGGAUGAAAAGUUAAUGCUAUAGCCUUACUUUUUUGCUGUUUUUUGCCCACUUAUGAAAAAUGGAAAAAGUCGCUAAAAAUGGAUGAAAAGUUAAUGCUAUAGCC